Molecule: long non-coding RNA, 4037 nt
Filed under: Daucus carota (carrot)
Lineage: Eukaryota; Viridiplantae; Streptophyta; Magnoliopsida; Apiales; Apiaceae
Description: long non-coding RNA (DCAR_LNC000705)
Source: RNAcentral
CCAAUAUUUGUAUCUCAAAAUCAAGUUGGUUAGGUUAGAACAAAGGAAGCCAAAGUAGAUUUAGAAACAUGAAGUACGAACACCAACAAUAUUGCUGCUCCACAGUCUCGCAUUAAAAUUAAGUGCCAACAAAGCAAGUGAGGAGGGAAAACUCAAGCUUCAGAAUAUAUCAAACCAAAUACCCACAAUGCAUCUAAAUUAUGGGAAAAGAUCAUGGGACAAAGGGUAAGAUGUAAACAUCCCUACCUCUAACUCUAAAAGGGUAGCACAGUUGUAUGUGUAGAGACCACGGUGACUUGAAUAAAACAAAAUCUGUUAAAUAGCACCAAAUAGUAAAAACAGUAGCAGCAUAUAGAAUAACUGAACAACUGCGAUUAUCAACUCAGCUAGAGCUAAGAAGUCCAGAAGUCACUUGUAUCAAUUGGAAGAGAUAAACACCUGACUCCUGAGCAUAUGGAUUAACAAAAGAUCACUGUUGACUACUGAACUCUCCAUACUCCUCAGAUGUAGGACUGGGGAGUUACAAACUUGCCCACUUAAAUUCCUAACAUCCCCAUGUCAAAUCCCGAGUCACAGUCCUCGAUAUGGGACUGAAGUGUUACAUAUACUUCUCAUCUACUGAAUGUACUCUCAAAGAUGUUGGAAAUCAGUUAAAUAACAACAUUGUUCUGACUUCACUUUAGGUGGCGACACGAAAUCCAUGAAUGAACUGAAAAUUGAAGUAGCCUCAACUGACAAACUAAAAUAAGCUUAAACAUAGAAAUUCUUUUCAAAAUCCAGCCACCAUUUACAGCGGACCUCGAUGUCUGUUAUAAAACAGCUUGAUCAUUAAUAUUUUCUCAUAACUCAUAUGUAAACACGUGGUAUAAUAAUGUCAACAGAGCUUUUAAGGUAUAUUAACAAAGUUGGUCCAGGAGUCUCGGUGCUAACAACACAGCAAUUAUUCAAGGGCUAAUAUGCACAGGACAGGCAACCGAGUUGAUCAAGUUAUAUCCAGCUUGUUGUUGAAAGCAAAAAUUACUGCUCCAGCAUGUUCAGUUGCAUUCCUGACAAUUGGCAAUAGAAUGAUGAUGAUGAAGCUUACAGAUAAUCCCCAGGAGGCUGAUGCUUCCUGUAAAAUUCUUAUAUCACUCAAAUUUAUACCAAUAGAAUAGAAAAAUUAUAUGAUUUCAUUAGAUUAAUCAAAUUCUAUUCAGAUAAUAAUGAAGGGAAUAAGUAGGCACAAUGUUUAAUUACCUCAGUAGUGCCAACAACAUACUCAGAUAACACUGAUAUAACAACAGUCAUAACAGCCAGCCAGAUAAAUCCACUCCAGAAUCCUGUAACAGGUGUUUCAUCUGAAACUAAAUCAUCUUCUUCUUCAUAGACAGCAUGACAAAAAAGAAAUUCCAAAAACCAUCUUAACUAUAUAUAUUAAAUUCAAAUAACACGAGUUGCAUCUUCUUCUCCACACAUAAAAGUAAAGAAAAAUGUACCUAUUGGGCUUCAAAAACUUCGUGAUGAGUCCACAACUGGGAAAAAAGGCCCUGGCUGCAUGCAACAUCACCAAUUAGAACCUCAGUAUCAUAGAAAGCCACAAAAGGAGUAAUCCUACUACCAUGAUCAUUGGCAAAUAUUUCGACGUGGUUACCUUACCAAACUCAAUACAUGAAUACAUGGUUCCCAGAUCAAUUCAAAUUGCAGGUCCUCAUUUUCCAGCCAUAACAUCACCAAUUAGAACCUCAGUAUCAUAGAAAGCCACAGAAUAAGGAGUAACCCUCCUACCAUGAUCAUUGGCAAUGAUUUCGACAUGGUUACCUUGCUAAACUCCAAUACAUGAGCAAUUGCAGGUCCUCAUUUUCCGGCCAUUCCGUAAAAUCAAGCAUAAUAGUGCAAAUGGAAACUCACAUAAAAAUAAAGAGUUUCUCUGCCAGAGUGAGUAAUUUGCAGAAAGGAAAAAAUCUGAAGUAAAAGCAUUCUUUUUCUCUGUCCCUUUCUUGUUCACUUUUAGCUUCUGCUCUGUACAUCAGCUUCUUUUACCAUCUUUUACAAGCUCUUCGUUUAACAACCUCUCCUCGUUAUAGGUUGUACUUCUAAUCUUAUCUUUUGUCCCACACAAGCCUUUUAUUCUCUCCUAUAAACUGCUCUGCAAAUCUCGAAUCCAAUCUUUUCAUAAAUAUCUGGAACCAAAACCAAACCCUAGAAUCAACUAAAAUAAAUUAUAAUAUCUUGAACCAAAAUAAAUCUUGGAAUCAACCAAAAUAGGCACCCAAAUAAAUCAACAAACAAAGAAGAUAUAACUGAUCAACAUGGGCGGAACCGAGGAUUAACGGAGAUAUAAAUGGAUAAUAAAAUGGCACAAGCAGGCCAUAUCAAGACCUAUAACUCAGAUAAAAUUCAUUUGAAUUAUUGAUUAGACCUUCAUCUACCGGAAGUCCUAUAUAAAAAGGAAAAGAGUCUUUGACUUUUAUAUGACNUAAAAUGCGGUUAAAACCACACCGCACCGCAUUUAAUAUAUUAUAUAAAAAAAUAUUUAUAAAUAUUAUAUUAUAUGCGUUAAUAUGCUAUAUUAUAAUUUUAUUAUGCAUCCAUCUAAGCAGUUUUAUUUUUAUAUGAAGCCCAUCAAAUCUGGGCAGCGUUAUAAAAACAGAAGUGUCCUACAUAUGCAGCAGGGAAGCAAGCACCAGUAGUCUGGUCUGUUCUUGUAAAUUACUCGGUGUUUACAAAUUUGUCAGAACUAGCUUUAUAGCCCGUGCAAGGCACGGGCAAGCUCUAAAUUAAUAUAUUAUAAAUAUUUAUAAUGGGUGGGAAAAGUUGGAGUGCUAGAAAGGUCGUAAAUAAUAAACACCCAUGAUGAAUGUAGAAUUUGAAAAGGUCUUGUAAGUAUGAAUCAAAAGAGGUCAUGGAGUGUCAUUCAAAAAGAACGGUAUUUUUGUUACUUGAUAAAGAUCUUAAAACGAUAAACAAAAAAUAAAUAGAUACUUCAAAAUAGAAUUUCCAGGAUUUACGAGGAAUGAGUUGUAGAGAUAUAAAUUACACAUGUGCCAAUAUUUGUAUCUCAAAAUCAAGUUGGUUAGGUUAGAACAAAGGAAGCCAAAGUAGAUUUAGAAACAUGAAGUACGAACACCAACAAUAUUGCUGCUCCACAGUCUCGCAUUAAAAUUAAGUGCCAACAAAGCAAGUGAGGAGGGAAAACUCAAGCUUCAGAAUAUAUCAAACCAAAUACCCACAAUGCAUCUAAAUUAUGGGAAAAGAUCAUGGGACAAAGGGUAAGAUGUAAACAUCCCUACCUCUAACUCUAAAAGGGUAGCACAGUUGUAUGUGUAGAGACCACGGUGACUUGAAUAAAACAAAAUCUGUUAAAUAGCACCAAAUAGUAAAAACAGUAGCAGCAUAUAGAAUAACUGAACAACUGCGAUUAUCAACUCAGCUAGAGCUAAGAAGUCCAGAAGUCACUUGUAUCAAUUGGAAGAGAUAAACACCUGACUCCUGAGCAUAUGGAUUAACAAAAGAUCACUGUUGACUACUGAACUCUCCAUACUCCUCAGAUGUAGGACUGGGGAGUUACAAACUUGCCCACUUAAAUUCCUAACAUCCCCAUGUCAAAUCCCGAGUCACAGUCCUCGAUAUGGGACUGAAGUGUUACAUAUACUUCUCAUCUACUGAAUGUACUCUCAAAGAUGUUGGAAAUCAGUUAAAUAACAACAUUGUUCUGACUUCACUUUAGGUGGCGACACGAAAUCCAUGAAUGAACUGAAAAUUGAAGUAGCCUCAACUGACAAACUAAAAUAAGCUUAAACAUAGAAAUUCUUUUCAAAAUCCAGCCACCAUUUACAGCGGACCUCGAUGUCUGUUAUAAAACAGCUUGAUCAUUAAUAUUUUCUCAUAACUCAUAUGUAAACACGUGGUAUAAUAAUGUCAACAGAGCUUUUAAGGUAUAUUAACAAAGUUGGUCCAGGAGUCUCGGUGCUAACAACACAGCAAUUAUUCAAGGGCUAAUAUGCACAGGACAGGCAACCGAGUUGAUCAAGUUAUAUCCAGCUUGUUGUUGAAAGCAA